AAUUCGAUUAGUUUGAUCAUGGCUCAGAUUGAACGCUGGCGGCAUGCCUAACACAUGCAAGUCGAACGGCAGCACAGCUUAAGCUUGCUUAAGUGGGUGGCGAGUGGCGGACGGGUGAGUAAUGCAUCGGGACCUACCUGAACGUGGGGGAUAACGUAGGGAAACUUACGCUAAUACCGCAUACGUCCUACGGGAGAAAGCGGGGGACCUUCGGGCCUCGCGCGGUCAGACGGACCGAUGUUCGAUUAGCUAGUUGGUAAGGUAAUGGCUUACCAAGGCGACGAUCGAUAGCUGGUCUGAGAGGAUGAUCAGCCACACUGGAACUGAGACACGGUCCAGACUCCUACGGGAGGCAGCAGUGGGGAAUAUUGGACAAUGGGCGCAAGCCUGAUCCAGCAAUGCCGCGUGUGUGAAGAAGGCCUUCGGGUUGUAAAGCACUUUUAUCGGGAGCGAAAUACCAUUGGUUAAUAACCGGUGGGGCUGACGGUACCCGAGGAAUAAGCACCGGCUAACUUCGUGCCAGCAGCCGCGGUAAUACGAAGGGUGCAAGCGUUAAUCGGAAUUACUGGGCGUAAAGGGUGCGUAGGCGGUUAGUUAAGUCUGUUGUGAAAUCCCCGGGCUCAACCUGGGAAUGGCAAUGGAUACUGGCUAGCUAGAGUGUGUCAGAGGAUGGUGGAAUUUCCGGUGUAGCGGUGAAAUGCGUAGAGAUCGGAAGGAACAUCAGUGGCGAAGGCGGCCAUCUGGGACAACGCUGACGCUGAAGCACGAAAGCGUGGGGAGCAAA
RNAcentral lists this ribosomal RNA (784 nucleotides) under uncultured bacterium. Its description in RNAcentral is "bacterial SSU rRNA". It matches the Rfam family "Bacterial small subunit ribosomal RNA", at positions 1 to 772 of the family's 1533-position model. The record is from RNAcentral.